This 443-nucleotide ribosomal RNA is filed under the name uncultured bacterium. Its description in RNAcentral is "partial 16S ribosomal RNA". It matches the Rfam family "Bacterial small subunit ribosomal RNA", at positions 338 to 795 of the family's 1533-position model. The record is from RNAcentral.
CCUACGGGCGGCAGCAGUGGGGAAUAUUGGGCAAUGGGCGCAAGCCUGACCCAGCAACGCCGCGUGAAGGAAGAAGGCUUUCGGGUUGUAAACUUCUUUUCUCAGGGACGAAGCAAGUGACGGUACCUGCGGAAUCAGCCACGGCUAACUACGUGCCAGCGGCCACGGUAAUCCGUAGGUGGCAAGCGUUGUCCGGAUUUACUUGGUGUAAAGGGCGUGUAGGCGGGACUGCAAGGCAGAUGUGAAAACCACGGGGUCAACCUGUGGCCUGCAUUUGAAACUGUAGUUCUUGAGUACUGGAGAGGGAGACGGAAUGCCUGGUGUAGCGGUGAAAUGCGUAGAUAUUAGGAGGAACACCAGUGGCGAAGGCGGUCUGCUGGACAGCAACUGACGCUGAGGCGCGAAAGCGUGGGGAGCGAACAGGAUUAGAUACCCUAGUAGUC